UUUUUUUUUUUUUAAAAAAAAUGGAGCAUAAGAGGUAGUCCGCGACUGACUUUUCCUAAUAUCCACCAUAAUUGGGGAUUAAACAAGAUGAUGUAUUGAAAGAUCCAAGUGACACCAUGCAUUAAGUGCUAAGAACUGCUAUAAUUGAUUACACUGAACAUUAAAGCUCUCAAGUGCUUAAGCCAACCUCAUCCCCAUUUCCACAAAGAACUUUCAAGAAACCAAGGAGAUAGUUCGAAAUUUUCCAAAGGUAAAACUUAUUGAAAGAUCUGAAGAUAGAAGGGUGUUAAGCACCAUGAUUCGCACGUUUAUUUCUCUCACCGGACUAGACUUUACUUGGCUUCUGACAGAAAUAUAAAAUCAACGGAGUAUCUGGGUCAGAAGUACAAGACAAUACAGCAGUAAUAAGAUAUGAAUAUUGAAAAGCAGAAACCUGAUACCUUUUACA
This 448-nucleotide unclassified non-coding RNA is filed under the name Hevea brasiliensis (rubber tree). Lineage: Eukaryota; Viridiplantae; Streptophyta; Magnoliopsida; Malpighiales; Euphorbiaceae. The record is from RNAcentral.